RNAcentral lists this transfer RNA (64 nucleotides) under Secretargas transgariepinus. Its description in RNAcentral is "Argas transgariepinus tRNA-Gly". Lineage: Eukaryota; Metazoa; Arthropoda; Arachnida; Ixodida; Argasidae. The record is from RNAcentral.
UACUUUAUUAGUAUAAAAAAGUACAUUUAAUUUCCAAUUAAAAAGAUUUUCUUAAAUAAAGUAA